This 221-nucleotide ribosomal RNA is filed under the name Acaulosporaceae sp. RNAcentral's name for it is "partial small subunit ribosomal RNA". It matches the Rfam family "Eukaryotic small subunit ribosomal RNA", at positions 563 to 785 of the family's 1831-position model. The record is from RNAcentral. Lineage: Eukaryota; Fungi; Glomeromycota; Glomeromycetes; Diversisporales; Acaulosporaceae.
GGUGCCAGCAGCCGCGGUAAUUCCAGCUCCAAUAGCGUAUAUUAAAGUUGUUGCAGUUAAAAAGCUCGUAGUUGAAUUUCGGGGUCUGUCCAUCGGUCGGGCUUCACGGUCCGUACUGGUGAGAUGGGUUCCUACCUUCUGAAUAACCGGCAUGCCAUUCAGUUGGUGCGUCGGGGAAGCAGAGCUAUUACCUUGAAAAAAUUAGAGUGUUUAAAGCAGGC